UACGUAGGUGGCAAGCGUUAUCCGGAAUCAUUGGGCGUAAAGGGUGCGUAGGUGGCGUACUAAGUCUGUAGUAAAAGGCAAUGGCUCAACCAUUGUAAGCUAUGGAAACUGGUAUGCUGGAGUGCAGAAGAGGGCGAUGGAAUUCCAUGUGUAGCGGUAAAAUGCGUAGAUAUAUGGAGGAACACCAGUGGCGAAGGCGGUCGCCUGGUCUGUAACUGACACUGAGGCACGAAAGCGUGGGGAGC
This 245-nucleotide ribosomal RNA is filed under the name uncultured Erysipelotrichaceae bacterium. RNAcentral describes it as "partial 16S ribosomal RNA". It matches the Rfam family "Bacterial small subunit ribosomal RNA", at positions 524 to 769 of the family's 1533-position model. Lineage: Bacteria; Bacillati; Bacillota; Erysipelotrichia; Erysipelotrichales; Erysipelotrichaceae. The record is from RNAcentral.